UUAGCAAGGCCCCUGCCCUGGGGCCAUCCACAGCCAGCGGGGGCAAGGACACAGCGUGCUCCCACCAGGAUGAGGCUAAGAACUUGUCCCUCCUCCUUCCAGGGACAGCGGUGCCAGUACAGAUGGCACCUUCCAGGAAUCAGAACCGCUGCUUUGGGAGCAGCUCCUAAGGACUGAGUUACCUCACUGUCCUUUCCAGCGGAGCUUGAGGAAGACAGAGACUGGGGCCGACCUUCCAACUUGAAAUUCAGAAUCAUUUUAGAAAAUAGUUGAAGUAAAGUGUUUUCCUAUUUAUGCACCUCAGCAGCUACACUGCCCUUCGCACCCAAGCACGAUUCAUAGCUCCCCAAGGAAGGUCAUGGCUGGUCAUGACUUAAGUCCUGGAGAAGAGACUGGAGGGUCCAAGGGGUCAGAAUCACUAUCGUGGCCCACUGCCCAGGGAAGGGAAGGCAAACCAAAGGAGGAGAGAAGGAAGGGACGAUCAGGAGAAGGGCACCCAGGCGGGCAUCUGAACCUGCUAGGUGCCUCGACACGCUUUCACUCCUUGUUAAUUCAUACUGCCACCCUGAGGGGACACAGGUGCCCAGUGCUGGGUGGCCCACAUCCCGCAGCAGAGCCUGCCCGUGAGGAGCAGGGAAGGCAGAAGACAACAGGAAGGACAAGAGGGAGACAGAGCCCAGUGGACACGCUUGAGGAGACAGUUCACAGGUAGCCGUGAGUCGAGGAGAACCACCAAAUCCAUGGCCCUCUCUCCAAAGGGGUCAAAGCUGCUGGGACUUGCCUGUGGACUGUGUGGCAUGGUGCCCUGUGUGGCAGAUGGGGCCAUGAGCCUGGCCACUCUCCUGAGGUUCGUGGCCUUGCUGAUGUUGCGUGUUUUGAGACACUGUUUUUCUGAUCACUGUCACAGAAGAGGCUCUCUGUGCCAUCGAGGAUCGAAUGCAUGAAAGUUUCCAGAAAACGAUGCUUUUGUGGGUCACAGUGUGGCAGGACUGGACUUGCUGUGGGGACAGCCAGGUGCAUGUUCCUGACCAGUCUCUCCGAGGCUGUGUCUUUCUCCCAUCUGCGAGUGUCAUUUUUCUUUGUUGCUCCUGGAUCUGCAGGCCUUCCCCACACCCAGAAGCACACACCUCUCCUCGCCUCACGCGUCUUCCCAUCUCUGGAUGGUUCAGGACAUGAGCUGCUCGAGGGCAGCUGGGGACCCUCCUGUGCCUUCAUUUUUUCCCUACACGUCUCAACUCUGGUAACCAGAUUUGCAUCUUUUUUACAACUAAGCAUCUGAAAGCCUAGAAGAACUUGUGGAUUUGUGACGCAAACUCCUGUGGCAUCUCUGGCUGUCCUGCUAGCUGGUUUCAGGAGAGAUGCUGAAAAUGAAGAGACCCUCCCCUUAUGUUAAAAAAAAAUAGAUGAACACAGUCUUACGUUGUUCAUUCGGACAUCUUGAUUCUCUGAAAAUAAAUGCACAGCUAUCUUGACGGCCCUCCCA
Molecule: long non-coding RNA, 1483 nt
Organism: Marmota flaviventris (yellow-bellied marmot)
Lineage: Eukaryota; Metazoa; Chordata; Mammalia; Rodentia; Sciuridae
Source: RefSeq, a predicted model, not a curated record